NACAGUGAGAGCAAUUUUCCUAGCCUCUUUACCCAGGUGAUGCCAACUCGUCAACAUUCAUGCUACUGGGGAGGAUUUAUAAGGGAGGUCCUCGCACACACCCCUUCCGGCAAAGGGCACCAGCCCGUCUUUUAAAGGAACGGGGUAGGAUACUCUAUUGCCUCCGGUAUGGCGGGCGAUUUCCAGGGACUCCCCCUCUCUCCGAGUAAGGGGAGGGAGUUCACUCCAUACGCGAGUCCAGGCUCCAAGAGGAAGAUUUGGGGAAAGGUUUCGGUCACAGGUCAGUCACAAAGAAAGUUGGGAAAGGUGCGGUCCCCUCACACCCCUCCUCUGGCAGAGAGCACUGGCCCGCCUUCAAGAGCACUCUACUGUCCAGGAGUAUGUGGGCAGUUUCCUGGGGCCUCUUUGCUCUCUGAGCAAGGAGGGACGCCAUCGUCAUUUAGUGGCCAGAAAAGGAUGGGGAUCCCCUUACGACCCACAAUCACACAGCACACCUAAUUCGGGACUUCAUUAUGGCAUUCUGUCACACUGCCAGCCGAUUGCUGGCAGGAGCCCUGCCAACCCUCCUUGGCUGCUUCAGGAUUCCCUGUACCUUGCCCUACUUGUGCAAUGGGGGUCUCUGGUAUUCCCAGUCCCUUGCCCCACCCGCAGUAGGUUCCAGGGUGCCCUGUGCUUAGCCCCACUCACGGAGUGGGGUCUCCGGUAUUUCCAGUCCCUUGCCCCGCCCGCAGUGGGUUCCAGGGAGUGGAUUCCACCCCCUUACUCACUAUGGGGUCCACUUUCCCGGGGUUCCUCAGCAGCCUGUCCUUCACCUUCUGGGGGAACCGCUCCCCAAAGGGUGAGAGCCACAAAGCUGACUAACACAAGGUAGGAAUCUAUAAAAGCAAAGCAUAGGAGCUUGGCGUACUUCUUGUCCUCGUAGUUAGUAACGGUUUCCUUCAUGUUCUGGAGAGACCACGCAGUCUAUUUAGCCUCUGUUCCUGCCUGAAUAAUCUCCUGUCAUCCAAAACUUGUUUUUAUACUGGACUGGCACUCUAAACGUGUUUAACUGCCAGAUGGAUAUCCCAGUAAUUUCACCGAGGCUG
This 1085-nucleotide long non-coding RNA is filed under the name Chrysemys picta bellii (western painted turtle). RNAcentral's name for it is "lncRNA (ENSCPBG00000006746.1)". The record is from RNAcentral. Lineage: Eukaryota; Metazoa; Chordata; Testudines; Emydidae.